RNAcentral lists this ribosomal RNA (305 nucleotides) under uncultured bacterium. RNAcentral describes it as "bacterial SSU rRNA". It matches the Rfam family "Bacterial small subunit ribosomal RNA", at positions 338 to 636 of the family's 1533-position model. The record is from RNAcentral.
CCUACGGGGGGCAGCAGUAGGGAAUCUUUCACAAUGGGCGAAAGCCUGAUGGAGCAACGCCGCGUGAACGAGGAAGGUCUUCGGAUCGUAAAGUUCUGUUGAAGGGGAAAAAGAGCGGAGAGAGGAAAUGGUCUCCGAUUGAUAUUACCCUUCGAGGAAGUCACGGCUAACUACGUGCCAGCAGCCGCGGUAAUACGUAGGUGGCGAGCGUUAUCCGGAAUGAUUGGGCGUAAAGGGUGCGUAGGCGGCCUGCUAAGUCUGGAGUGAAAGGUACCGGCUCAACCGGUACAGGCUCUGGAAACUGG